GAGGAUGAGAACCUACGGGGGCGGGAGGUUCGACCCGAGCGAAGCGAGAGAACGUUGCGCGAGCAACGGCCCGCAGGGCAAGCCAUCCUC
Molecule: small RNA, 90 nt
Filed under: Salmonella enterica subsp. houtenae
Lineage: Bacteria; Pseudomonadati; Pseudomonadota; Gammaproteobacteria; Enterobacterales; Enterobacteriaceae
Also listed under: 2 other names
Description: RtT sRNA
Rfam family: RtT RNA
About the family: This family represents a bacterial cis-regulatory element known as RtT RNA. The exact function of RtT is unknown although it is thought that it may be involved in changing the cellular response in relation to amino acid starvation.
Source: RNAcentral